GAAGGAGAAACUAAACUGGCAAGGAAAGCAAGUUGCUGUUGGCUACAGAGAACCAUUCCACAGAACACCCUUAAGACCUGUGCUUUCAGAAGUCAGGAAUCAUGUCCAGUCAUGGAAUUCUUGCCCAGGAGAGGAGGAAGAAGCAGGGGAGCAGGAACUGACACUGACUUAGCACCUCGAUCUGGUAUCCCAUUUCUCCAAUAACAGUGACAAGCCAGAAAAUUUGUCUUGUGUGUAGCACCCCCACAGUAGCCAGCAGGGGACCCUGGAGGAUCGUGGAGCUGGAUCACCACCCAGAAGACAUGAAUUCCUCUUGUCCAGAGGCAGAACAACAGCAACAGCAGCCACUUAUGCUCCUGUAGUUUCCAGAGCACCUUGCUUAAUCGGAAGUAGGAUGUUACACUCCAGAGACUACUGAUUUACAUAUCACACAUGUGCUCAUCCAUCCAUUCACCAAACCUCUGUUGACUGCUCGCGCUGCCCUGCGUUCCUGGCACUGUGCAGGGUUAUAAUCUAGUAGGAAAGACCUGACAAGGUCACAGAUGUCAGUACUGAAAGGAAGAGUAGGGUAGAUGGCCACCCCACCCCCACCCCAACCUCAAAAAAGAGACUAAAAAAUUACUGUCACUUGUGUAAUUCAUCAACAAACUUUACUGAGCACCUAAUAGGCACUGAGUGUUUUCGUGUAUUGAUCACGCAUUGAUCCUCACAAUAACCUUUGAGAUGGGUUGUGCCAUUUACACAGGGCGAAGAAGAGAGACUGGCCACUGUCACACAGCUACUGAUAUCCAAGCUGAGAUCCAAAGCUCCUCUGCUUCUCCUGAUGAGAAUGAGCACCACAGGCAGGCCACAGAAAAACACCCAGGAGAGCCAAACUCAGACCCACCCCAGAUUUCCCACCCCACCCUCCACUGGCUCCAACCUCACUCCCUCUUCAUUCAUUCAGCCAGUCUGUCAAACACAGUUAUUGUACUCCUGUGGGGUGCAAAGCUCUUGAGGAAAGGGGAGGAAGGAAGAAUCAUAAAU
Molecule: long non-coding RNA, 1026 nt
Filed under: Homo sapiens (human)
Lineage: Eukaryota; Metazoa; Chordata; Mammalia; Primates; Hominidae
Description: HSALNT0181955
Source: RNAcentral